This 836-nucleotide ribosomal RNA is filed under the name uncultured Bacteroidota bacterium. RNAcentral's name for it is "bacterial SSU rRNA". It matches the Rfam family "Bacterial small subunit ribosomal RNA", at positions 45 to 879 of the family's 1533-position model. Lineage: Bacteria; Pseudomonadati; Bacteroidota. The record is from RNAcentral.
GGCCUAAUACAUGCAAGUCGAGGGAGAAAUUAGGUGCUUGCACUUGAUGGGAACCGGCGAACGGGUGCGUAACACGUAUGCAACCUACCUAUAACUGGGGGAUAGCCCGAAGAAAUUCGGGUUAAUACCCUAUAAUAUUUAGUCAUCGCAUGAUGAUUAUCUUAAAACUCCGGUGGUUAUAGAUGGGCAUGCGGCCUAUUAGUUUGUUGGUGAGGUAAUGGCUCACCAAGACUACGAUAGGUAGGGGGUCUGAGAGGAUGAUCCCCCACACUGGUACUGAGACACGGACCAGACUCCUACGGGAGGCAGCAGUAGGGAAUAUUGGACAAUGGACGAAAGUCUGAUCCAGCCAUGCCGCGUGCAGGAUGACGGCCCUAUGGGUUGUAAACUGCUUUUAUAUAGGAAGAAACCUUUCCACGUGUGGAAAGCUGACGGUACUAUACGAAUAAGGACCGGCUAACUCCGUGCCAGCAGCCGCGGUAAUACGGAGGGUCCAAGCGUUGUCCGGAUUUAUUGGGUUUAAAGGGUACGUAGGCGGAAUUUUAAGUCAGUGGUGAAAGCCUCCAGCUCAACUGGAGAAUUGCCAUUGAAACUGAAGUUCUUGAAUAUGGAUGAGGUGGUUGGAAUAUAACAUGUAGCGGUGAAAUGCUUAGAUAUGUUAUAGAACACCAAUUGCGAAGGCAGAUCACUAAACCAUUAUUGACGCUGAGGUACGAAAGCGUGGGGAGCGAACAGGAUUAGAUACCCUGGUAGUCCACGCCGUAAACGAUGUUCACUCGCUGUUGGCGAUAUACUGUCAGCGGCCAAGCGAAAGCAUUAAGUGAACCACCUGGGGG